This 58-nucleotide transfer RNA is filed under the name Dolomedes angustivirgatus. RNAcentral's name for it is "tRNA-Arg". The record is from RNAcentral. Lineage: Eukaryota; Metazoa; Arthropoda; Arachnida; Araneae; Dolomedidae.
AAAUUAAUGUGCUUAUAAGCGGCUUAAUUUCGACUUAAGAGGUGAUUAUAUUAGUGUA